CAUUCUGCGCGGCGCCAGGUCUCUCCUCGGGCCUCGCCUUUCCCUUCGUGAGCAAACCUCGCGCUUUUUGCUCACCCUUCCAGGACGCGGCCUCCUCGCUUCUUAAAAUGUCUGAGCUCUACGAAGUGGAACUGUUAGCCCUCCGUUUAUUGCCUUACUUCACACUGAAAUAAGCCAACGUUUAUUUUAUUUUAUUUAUUUUAUUAUUUAUUUUAUUAUUUUUUUUGGAGACGGAGUCUCGCUGUGUCCCAGGCUGGAGUGCCGUGGCGGGAUCUCGACUCACUGCAACCUCCGCCUCCGUGUUCAAGCUAUUCUACCUCAGCCUCCCGAGUAGCUGGGAUUACAGGCGCCCGACACCACGCCCGGCUAAUUUUUGUAUUUUUAGUAGAGAUGGGGUUUCACCAUGUUGGCCAGGCUGAUCUCGAACUGCUGACCUUGUGAUCCUCCCGCCUCAGCCUCCCAAAGUGCUGGGAUUACAGGCGUGAGCCACCGCGCCCGGCCCCCAACGUUCAUUUUUAAGCCUGUCAUAUCUCACAUUAAAUGUGUAAGUCUCUGAACUGUAGGGCUUUGAACAAAGGAAAGUUCCAUGAGAAUACUAUAUGAUGCCAAUUUCUACUGUUAGGAACGCGAUAACAGAGUGCAGUGGGGGAGAAAAUACGGUCCUCAAGAUCUGAGAAACUGGAGAGGAAAAGUCACAGGACAACCAACUUCUCUAUGACCUAGCCCAGCAUCUGAGGAAAGUCCUGCAAUAGUGGAGGUGGAGCAGAGGGUAUGAGCUGGGAAGCAAAUGGAGCAGGUUGGUCCACAGGACUCAGGGAAGGAGAAAAAAGUAUAAAAAUUUCUUUUCUUAUUACAAGAAUUCCAAGAUGUGUCAGAGUUGACCAGAAGCAUAGAGAAGACUACAUAGUCAAGUACCCACCAGGGGAAUGUGGUAGAAUUGGCAGUCUGUUGGUCUCUUUGUAAUGUCAGAUUAAAGAAAUCACCUGGAAGCUGACAUUGGCCCCUUCCCUUCCCAGGAGGCAGAUCUGGCCUAAAUACGGAGAUGCCUACAAAGAAGACCUAGGAUCACAAUCGUUCUUAGCACAUCAAACUCUUCUUCCAGGUCCUAGAGAAAGUGGCCACUCUAUACCAAAGCCAAAGAACUGCAGAGUACUCCUCUUGGUUGGGGUUUCAUAUUGCUCUUGUAAUUCAGUUUCCUCUCAUCUUUGCUGUCAUUUCGUGGGUACCAACAGCCUUGGCCAGGUGUGAGAAGUGUCCAUUACUAUUGUUUGCUCUGACUAUCUUGCGCAAAGAUGCCAAGUAAGGCUGGAGCAAAGGCCUUGGUGAUACUCUUGCCUUGGACAGAUAAAUGGUGGUAGUAUAGCUAGUCCCUCAGUUGCACCUGUUUGUAUUCCAAAGGCAGUAAACACAGAUGUUCAGAAGCCCUUUAUAAUCAAGAUGUCAAAUAUCUGAAAUUAUUCCCCAGCUCUGACAAAACUUGCCUUCUGGGUGUGGAGACAAAACAAGAAUUUGUGACUACUGCUGAUCACAUCUAGAACUGCCUUGAGGCUGGCCAUGAAGACUUGAAACCACAAUUUUCACUGAGGAUCUAAACCUCAGAUCACAUUUGUUUGGGGCUACUGUGGGGUAAGGGGAUAUUAAGGAUGUAAAAGGGAUGUUGCAAAUGCUCAUGAGACCAGGUUUUGUGGCACGCUAGGGCCACCACUAAUUCUCCAUGAUGACUUCUCCACAGGACUUGCUUAAGCACAGGCACAGGACCCACCAAUAAUCAGAUGUGCACUCUACACAGACUGCACCCGCCGAGAACAGGUCACAGUCCUGUGACACAAACCCAUAUACACAACCGAGAGAUUGGCAUUUUGGUCCAUGCUUAUUUAACAAAUUCCCUUCUGCUGUGGGCACUAGGACAGGGGGCUGGCAAUACUCAGAUGAGCUGUCCCACCCCCAAGUCCAAAGCAGCAGCUCUCAGGCCUCCUCUGCUGCCUCACGCCAUUCCAAACAUGAUGGCUGGGCUUACACACCUGUCUUACUGGAGGCCUCCCUCUCUGUGUUCCCUUUCCACCGCUAUUCCAUUACUUCCACAGGAGCUGGAGGCUGCCCCAUCCACUCCAAGCCAGAGAACAAGCAGAGGCUGCCACAGGAGAUCCUGGGCAAGUAAUCAGCCACAGCAUCUAGAUUAGCAUGAAGGAAACACUGGCCAAAUUAAAAGAUGAAAUUUCCAAAAGGU
Gorilla gorilla gorilla (western lowland gorilla) is the source of this 2227-nucleotide long non-coding RNA. RefSeq lists it as uncharacterized. The transcript has 3 exons. The record is from RefSeq and is a predicted model, not a curated record. NCBI's taxonomy places the organism in Eukaryota, Metazoa, Chordata, Mammalia, Primates, Hominidae.